RNAcentral lists this long non-coding RNA (344 nucleotides) under Coturnix japonica (Japanese quail). Its description in RNAcentral is "lncRNA (ENSCJPG00005001907.1)". The record is from RNAcentral. Lineage: Eukaryota; Metazoa; Chordata; Aves; Galliformes; Phasianidae.
UAUUUUGAUCAGUGAAGGUUUUCUUCCUCCUGCACUGCAGACUAAUGUCCUCUUAUCUUCUGUUUCUAUCUACAGCAGAUGCUGACAUUAAGAGCAAAGGGUGUUAUGCCUUUGUCUACUUUCCUCCCACACAUUCCCCUCCUCCCACUCCAGUUUUCAAGACCUACAAUCUAUUGCCCCGGUAGAAGAGCUUCAUCUGCCUCAUCACAGAUUUUAAGAUAAAGACUUUCAUGGCUGCUAUCACUAGAAAUACAUGAAAACCUCUCCAACACAAAAUAAUGGAGAUAAGAGAAAUACACUUCAGAAAAUUAUAAUCAUUUUUAUGUCAGAAACAGUUAUACUAA